AUGGAUCUGCAGAUCGUGGGACGGCACGCGUUGCUCUUUGACGACGACGCGGCGGCGGAGGUCGUAAACUCCGGCGGCUCCCUCGUCCCCUGGUCCGCCGCCGGCGCGGCCGAUCUCCUCCUUGACCGCCACGACGUCCGCCACCUUCUCGACCGCGUCCCUCCUCGUUCAAACCGCGCCUACUCCGUGGCCCUCCUCUCCACCCCCUCUCCCGACGGCGUGUCCGAGGCCGAGCUUGACCGCGAGCGCUUCCUCGACCUCACCGCCGACGUCGGCACCGGAGACGCGUCUCCUUCAGGAAACGGGACAGAUACUGGGCAGGCCGGUUAUAAUGCCGUCGCUUUCUCAUACGGGGGACCUGCUGGUUCUGAUGAUCCGAAUGAUUCAGUCUCUUCUUAUCGCCCAUCUUUUCCUGUGCCAGAAAGCCUGUUGAAUAAGCUGCCUCCCUCCGAGAAGGUGCAUCAGAUAAUUGCAAGAACUGCUCUAUUUGUCAGUGAGCAUGGGGGACAAUCAGAGAUUGUGUUAAGGGUGAAGCAGGGAAAUAAUCCAACAUUUGGGUUCUUGAUGCCUGACCAUCAUCUCCACAGCUACUUCCGCUACAUUGUUGAUCAUCCUCAGCUGUUGAAAGAUGGCUCUGAUGCUGACACCAAUAAAGGCAACAAAAUUGUUAUGGGUGAGAGUGAGAUUGCUGCCUCGUCAAGCGGAGCUUUAUCAUUGCUUGGGGCCGUCUAUGAGUCUGGAGAUGAGGAUGAAGGCGUGCUUCCAGCUAGUUCAAAAGGCAAGGAUCCUGGAAAUGAAGCUUUGCAUGACAAUGCCCACAAAGGCUCAUCAUUCCUUGUACAUGACAACGAAGUGAAAAAAGAUCAGACAGUAACAAUAGAAGCAUCCACUUUAGUAAAGGAUAAACCUAUUUUCACCAAGAAGAACCCAACAAUUGCUGGAAACAGCAUUGUUGCUGCUCAGCGGGAGAAGGUUAAAGAUGCCACGACAGUGUUAACCACUUCUACCAAGUCUGACAACUCUAAAUUAGGUGUGUCUGACACAAAAGAAAUGAUACUGGAACCACCAUCCUUUUUGAAGGGCACAAUGGAGAAAAUAGUCGAGUUUAUUCUCAGGAACGGGAAGGAGUUUGAACAAAAGCUCAUUGAGCAAGACAGGAUGACAGGGAGGUUUCCAUUUCUUCUGCCGUCUAAUCCAUAUCACUCUUACUAUCUCAAGAUGCUUCAGGAAACCCAAGAGUCCAAGUCCCGUGGUGGUGCUUCAGAGCACAGAGACAGAAGGAGCUCUUCAGAGCGCCAAGACAGGAGGAGUUCUUCAGAGCGCAGAGACAGGAGGAGUUCAGAACGUAAAGACAGAAGGUCCAUGGAGCGCAAAGAUAGAAGUUCUUCAGACCUCCGAGACAGUGGCCACGACAAGGAAGUAACUAAAAGCAAGGGACGGGGAAGUGCUAACAAGGACUCAAGCACUUCUGAUAGAACCUCCGCGGAACCAUCACAGAAGCAGCUUUCUGACAAACAAGGGGAGGGGAAGUUCCAGUUGGUCACUGGUGGUGCCAAGAAGGAACUUCCUCGGACGGUCACUGCAGAUGAAGCUGCUGCUAUUGUUAUGGCGGCUACUCGUGGACUGGGGCCUGCCAAUCCUCAACCUAACACGCUAAAAGACACGGUUGACAUUCGCCAUAUACAGGGCUCAGGUGCAGUGUCCAAACCUGCUUCAAAUAGUGAGCCUGGCAUAUCAGUCACAAGUAGUGAUCAGCUAAAGAAGGAAGGUAUUGGAAUUAUCGAUGAUGAUUGGAUCACAAAUACAAUCGCAAAAGCAGUUGCUGUUGCCGCCUCUAAAGAGGCAGAUUCUUCUGAAGCUUCCAUGACAAAUGAGCAGAAGCUGAAGGCUGAGAGGCUUCGGCGUGCAAAGAUGUUCACUUCAAUUAUUAAGGGUGGUGGCAACAAGAAUGAUCUGGUGACACAGGAGAUAAGUAAUGAAUCUGCAAGGGCCGCUCCUGCUAAUUCGAACCUCCCCGUGCCUCCAGAACCUUUGGCUAGUGAACGGGAAGGUAGCUCUGUGCAUUUUGAACGGGAAGGUAGCUCUCUGCGUUUUGAACGGGAAGGUAGCUCUGUGCGUUUCGAACGGGAAGGUUCGAAUAUGAUCAAGCAGGAGAAAGACUCUGAUGACGAGCAGAACAGGGCACGCAAGUACAGAAAGCAUCAUCCAGAAUCCGAUGAGGACAAACAUGAUUUGGAGGAGGGAAGUUAUAAACACUCAAGGAAGAGGCAUCGUUCGGAGCGUUCAAGAGGCCACAGUAAGGAUGCACACAAACGUAAGCACAAGCAUCACUCCAAGGAAAGGGAGUAUAGGGAUCAUAGCUCUUCGGAAGAUGAGCUACGCAGUUCCAAGUCAAGGCAUCGACAUAGGGACGAUCAUCACUACGCUGAAGAUGACGAGCAUAGGAGGCACCGGAGGAGCCAUCGCUCUGGUUCCAAAAGGAAACACAAGGAUGACGGAGAUCUCAAUGAGCAAACUCUUGGCCGCGCUGAAGCCUCCCAAAGCACGCCUGAGCACAGGCAUGGAUCAGAGCAGCCCCCUAGCGACACUGCUCAAUCUUCGCAGGCGGCAACUCAGGUCCCAGAUGAGCUGAAGGCGAAAAUUAGGGCGAUGCUAUUAGAGACACUGUAA
Molecule: ribosomal RNA, 2670 nt
Filed under: Triticum aestivum (bread wheat)
Lineage: Eukaryota; Viridiplantae; Streptophyta; Magnoliopsida; Poales; Poaceae
Description: partial small subunit ribosomal RNA
Source: RNAcentral